UUCCUACGGGAGGCAGCAGUGGGGGAUAUUGGACAAUGGGGGGAACCCUGAUCCAGCGACGCCGCGUGAGUGAAGAAGUAUUUCGGUAUGUAAAGCUCUGUCAGCAGGGAAGAAAGAAAUGACGGUACCUGACCAAGAAGCCCCGGCUAACUACGUGCCAGCAGCCGCGGUAAUACGUAGGGAGCGAGCGUUGUCCGGAUUUACUGGGUGUAAAGGGUGCGUAGGCGGCUUGGCAAGUCAGUAGUGAAAUCCACGGGCUUAACCCAUGAACUGCUAUUGAAACUGUCGAGCUUGAGUGAAGUAGG
RNAcentral lists this ribosomal RNA (305 nucleotides) under uncultured bacterium. Its description in RNAcentral is "bacterial SSU rRNA". It matches the Rfam family "Bacterial small subunit ribosomal RNA", at positions 336 to 655 of the family's 1533-position model. The record is from RNAcentral.